GUGGGCCGCUUUUACUAAAUGAUUCUUUUUAGAUCUUUCUUUUUUGCUUCGGCAUUUUAGGAGAUCUUGUUACUUUGAGUAAAUUAGAGUGUUCAAAGCAAACAGAUUAUAGCAUCUUUAUGCGUUUGAAUACUACAGCAUGGAAUAACAAAAUUGAACAAGUGAAAAUUUUGUUCUUUUUUCUUAUUUUGGCUUAGUUACGAUUAAUAGGAGUAGCUUGGGGGCAUUUGUAUUCAGAUGUCAGAGGUGAAAUUCUUAGAUUUUCUGGAGACAAACAACUGCGAAAGCAUUUGCCUAAAAUACUUCCAUUAAUCAAGAACGAAAGUUAAGGGAGUGAAGACGAUCAGAUACCGUCGUAAUCUUAACCAUAAACUAUGCCGACUAGGCUUGGAGAAAGAUUUGAAAAAUAAAUUUCUUCCCCC
This 422-nucleotide ribosomal RNA is filed under the name Plasmodium inui. RNAcentral's name for it is "bacterial SSU rRNA". It matches the Rfam family "Eukaryotic small subunit ribosomal RNA", at positions 683 to 1086 of the family's 1831-position model. The record is from RNAcentral. Lineage: Eukaryota; Apicomplexa; Aconoidasida; Haemosporida; Plasmodiidae.